GGAAAAGAAAUCAACCGAGAUUCCCCCAGUAGCGGCGAGCGAACGGGGAGCAGCCCAGAGCCUGAAUCAGUGUGUGUGUUAGUGGAAGCGUCUGGAAAGGCGCGCGAUACAGGGUGACAGCCCCGUACACAAAAAUGCACAUGCUGUGAGCUCGAUGAGUAGGGCGGGACACGUGGUAUCCUGUCUGAAUAUGGGGGGACCAUCCUCCAAGGCUAAAUACUCCUGACUGACCGAUAGUGAACCAGUACCGUGAGGGAAAGGCGAAAAGAACCCCGGCGAGGGGAGUGAAAAAGAACCUGAAACCGUGUACGUACAAGCAGUGGGAGCACGCUUAGGCGUGUGACUGCGUACCUUUUGUAUAAUGGGUCAGCGACUUAUAUUCUGUAGCAAGGUUAACCGAAUAGGGGAGCCGAAGGGAAACCGAGUCUUAACUGGGCGUUAAGUUGCAGGGUAUAGACCCGAAACCCGGUGAUCUAGCCAUGGGCAGGUUGAAGGUUGGGUAACACUAACUGGAGGACCGAACCGACUAAUGUUGAAAAAUUAGCGGAUGACUUGUGGCUGGGGGUGAAAGGCCAAUCAAACCGGGAGAUAGCUGGUUCUCCCCGAAAGCUAUUUAGGUAGCGCCUCGUGAAUUCAUCUCCGGGGGUAGAGCACUGUUUCGGCAAGGGGGUCAUCCCGACUUACCAACCCGAUGCAAACUGCGAAUACCGGAGAAUGUUAUCACGGGAGACACACGGCGGGUGCUAACGUCCGUCGUGAAGAGGGAAACAACCCAGACCGCCAGCUAAGGUCCCAAAGUCAUGGUUAAGUGGGAAACGAUGUGGGAAGGCCCAGACAGCCAGGAUGUUGGCUUAGAAGCAGCCAUCAUUUAAAGAAAGCGUAAUAGCUCACUGGUCGAGUCGGCCUGCGCGGAAGAUGUAACGGGGCUAAACCAUGCACCGAAGCUGCGGCAGCGACGCUUAUGCGUUGUUGGGUA
Molecule: ribosomal RNA, 976 nt
Filed under: Escherichia coli
Lineage: Bacteria; Pseudomonadati; Pseudomonadota; Gammaproteobacteria; Enterobacterales; Enterobacteriaceae
Description: partial 23S ribosomal RNA
Rfam family: Bacterial large subunit ribosomal RNA
Source: RNAcentral